CCCAGGUGAGCUCAGGUGAGCUCAGGUGAGCCCAGGUGAGCUCAGCUGUGCCCAGGUGUGCCCAGCUGUGACCCAGGUGUGCCCAGCUGGAGCACACCUGGGUCACACCUGGGGGCAGAUUGGGAUACCUGGGUCACACCUGGGUCACACCUGGGUCACACCUGGGUCACACCUGGGGGGGACUGGGAUACCUGG
This 195-nucleotide long non-coding RNA is filed under the name Ficedula albicollis (Collared flycatcher). Its description in RNAcentral is "lncRNA (ENSFALG00000028268.1)". The record is from RNAcentral. Lineage: Eukaryota; Metazoa; Chordata; Aves; Passeriformes; Muscicapidae.